AACGCAAAUUGCGCUUGAGGCUUCGGCCAAAAGCAUGUCUGCCUCAGCGUCGGGUUAAUACUCGCUCCCUGUUCACCCAGGUGUGGCGGAACUGACUGUCUCGGCACUACUUCUAUAGUGUGCCGGGUUGGGUGAAGUAUGCAGUUGUUUUGGCGCACGUGGACCCGCCUUUAUGGUAGGUGUGCAUCCACUGGGUAGGCAAAUCCAAUUUGCUAAAUGCUUGAGUGGAUAGCUGAAUGCGUGUACUGCAAAACACAAAGCAGGAAAAUUAAUCCUAAUUUCUAGAAAUGAGCACAGGCAAGAUUACCCGCUGAACUUAA
This 320-nucleotide unclassified non-coding RNA is filed under the name uncultured fungus. RNAcentral describes it as "partial contains 5.8S rRNA and ITS2". Lineage: Eukaryota; Fungi. The record is from RNAcentral.